Molecule: ribosomal RNA, 305 nt
Filed under: uncultured bacterium
Lineage: Bacteria
Description: partial 16S ribosomal RNA
Rfam family: Bacterial small subunit ribosomal RNA
Source: RNAcentral
ACAGCAGCCGCCGCGGUAAUACGUAGGUCCCGAGCGUUGUCCGGAUUUAUUGGGCAUAAAGCGAGCGCAGGCGGUUAGAUAGGUCUGAAGUUAAAGGCUGUGGCUUAACCAUAGUACGCUUUGGAAACUGUUUAACUUGAGUGCAGAAGGGGAGAGUGGAAUUCCAUGUGUAGCGGUGAAAUGCGUAGAUAUAUGGAGGAACACCGGUGGCGAAAGCGGCUCUCUGGUCUGUAACUGACGCUGAGGCUCGAAAGCGUGGGGAGCAAACAGGAUUAGAGACCCGUGUAGUCCCUGUCUCUUAUACA